RNAcentral lists this long non-coding RNA (383 nucleotides) under Hordeum vulgare. Its description in RNAcentral is "long non-coding RNA (HVUL_LNC012230)". Lineage: Eukaryota; Viridiplantae; Streptophyta; Magnoliopsida; Poales; Poaceae. The record is from RNAcentral.
GACGAUCUUCUUUCCCCUUCUCCAGGCUCCUCCUCACCAACCGUGUCUCUUCUCUCUCCCCCUCCUAAUUCUGGAUCGAGAUCUCCCGUAGGCAUUACAAUUGGUGAUCAGAGCCUUCCUAGAAUUUUUUUCCAUCGAUUGACACCGUCGUUGCUCGCUUAUCCUCUAGAUCGAGCGGUAACAUCCACCAAGCUAGGUGCUAGCCGCUCCCUUAAGCUCGCCCGAAAUCCUACUAGGGUUUCCCCUCGAUUCGGAGCGCGACCACGGCUUCGUCCAAACCCUCGGCGCAGACCCGUUGCGUGCUUGACAAGAAAACAGACACCAUGGAAAAGCUGCACAGCCUGCUCGAGUCCGUUCUCCGCCGCCUUGACGCCAACCAGAAG